Molecule: ribosomal RNA, 157 nt
Filed under: Escherichia coli
Lineage: Bacteria; Pseudomonadati; Pseudomonadota; Gammaproteobacteria; Enterobacterales; Enterobacteriaceae
Description: partial 23S ribosomal RNA
Rfam family: Bacterial large subunit ribosomal RNA (bases 1-140)
Source: RNAcentral
AACUUGCCCCGAGAUGAGUUCUCCCUGACUCCUUGAGAGUCCUGAAGGAACGUUGAAGACGACGACGUUGAUAGGCCGGAUGUGUAAGCGCAGCGAUGCGUUGAGCUAACCGGUACUAAUGAACCGUGAGGCUUAACCUUACAACGCCGAAGCUGUU